This 435-nucleotide long non-coding RNA is filed under the name Bos taurus (domestic cattle). RNAcentral's name for it is "long non-coding RNA NONBTAT001085". The record is from RNAcentral. Lineage: Eukaryota; Metazoa; Chordata; Mammalia; Artiodactyla; Bovidae.
AUUCUAUGCCCACAUUCCUUUAUAAGCUAAACAGCUCAAGCAUGAUUUUGGAGAUGAACUACAAAGAUGUCACUUGAACAAGAACACUCAAGGAGUCAGGGAUCCCUACCAUGAGAAAAAAAAAUUUCAGGAAAACCGUGGAAACACAAUGCCGAUAAUAUCGCCCAUGCUUCAAAAAGAUCGACUUCAGCAGAGAAAUAAUGACUUGAGUGUCUUAGAAGAGGUACUAAGUUUAAAUGGCAUAUUUAGCCUAGGAAUUUAUCCAACCAUCCAUCCAAUGAGCACUUACUAUGCACUCUCCAAAGACAUUAAGGUAAAUAAGUAAUCAUUCCUACACUCAAGUAAGGAGACAAUCAGACAACACUGAAAAGGACAAGAGUUCUGAAAAGUAUAGAAAUAGUGCCAGAAGAAAUUAAAGAAAAUGAUAAAUUACCU